AGUGAACGCUGGCGGUAGGCCUAACACAUGCAAGUCGAACGGCAGCACAGUAAGAGCUUGCUCUUACGGGUGGCGAGUGGCGGACGGGUGAGGAAUACAUCGGAAUCUACUUUUUCGUGGGGGAUAACGUAGGGAAACUUACGCUAAUACCGCAUACGACCUACGGGUGAAAGCAGGGGAUCUUCGGACCUUGCGCGAUUGAAUGAGCCGAUGUCGGAUUAGCUAGUUGGCGGGGUAACGGCCCACCAAGGCAACGAUCCGUAGCUGGUCUGAGAGGAUGAUCGGCCACACUGGAACUGAGACACGGUCCAGACUCCUACGGGAGGCAGCAGUGGGGAAUAUUGGGCAAAGGGCGCAAGCCUGAUCCAGCCAUACCGCGUGGGUGAAGAAGGCCUUCGGGUUGUAAAGCCCUUUUGUUGGGAAAGAAAAGCAGCAGGUUAAUACCCCGCUGUUCUGACGGUACCCAAAGAAUAAGCACCGGCUAACUUCGUG
This 492-nucleotide ribosomal RNA is filed under the name uncultured bacterium. RNAcentral's name for it is "partial 16S ribosomal RNA". It matches the Rfam family "Bacterial small subunit ribosomal RNA", at positions 29 to 507 of the family's 1533-position model. The record is from RNAcentral.